Molecule: non-coding RNA, 70 nt
Organism: Phrynosoma platyrhinos (Desert horned lizard)
Lineage: Eukaryota; Metazoa; Chordata; Lepidosauria; Squamata; Phrynosomatidae
Source: the annotation of a GenBank genome assembly
UUCAUGUGGCAUAGUGGUUUGUGUGCUGGACUCUGGAGACCAGGGUUCAAUUCCCAGCUCGGCCAUGAAA